CCUACGGGAGGCAGCAGUGAGGAAUAUUGGUCAAUGGACGAGAGUCUGAACCAGCCAAGUAGCGUGAAGGAUGACUGCCCUAUGGGUUGUAAACUUCUUUUAUAUGGGAAUAAAAUGUUCCACGUGUGGGAUUUUGUAUGUACCAUAUGAAUAAGGAUCGGCUAACUCCGUGCCAGCAGCCGCGGUAAUACGGAGGAUCCGAGCGUUAUCCGGAUUUAUUGGGUUUAAAGGGAGCGUAGGUGGAUUGUUAAGUCAGUUGUGAAAGUUUGCGGCUCAACCGUAAAAUUGCAGUUGAAACUGGCAGUCUUGAGUACAGUAGAGGUGGGCGGAAUGCGUGGUGUAGCGGUGAAAUGCUUAGAUAUCACGAAGAACGCCGAUUGCGAAGGCAGUUCACUGGACUGCAACUGACACUGAGGCUCGAAAGUGUGGGUAUCAAACAGGAUUAGAUACCCCUGUAGUC
RNAcentral lists this ribosomal RNA (460 nucleotides) under uncultured bacterium. RNAcentral's name for it is "partial 16S ribosomal RNA". It matches the Rfam family "Bacterial small subunit ribosomal RNA", at positions 338 to 795 of the family's 1533-position model. The record is from RNAcentral.